UCAGAUCGCAGUCUGCAACCCGACUGCGUGAAGUCGGAAUCGCUAGUAAUCGCGGAUCAGCAUGCCGCGGUGAAUACGUUCCCGGGCCUUGUACACACCGCCCGUCACACCAUGAGAGUCGGGAACACCCGAAGUCCGUAGCCUAACCGCGAGGGGGGCGCGGCCGGAGGUGGGUUCGAUAAUUGGGGUGAAGUCGUAACAAGGUAGC
Molecule: ribosomal RNA, 208 nt
Filed under: uncultured bacterium
Lineage: Bacteria
Description: partial 16S ribosomal RNA
Rfam family: Bacterial small subunit ribosomal RNA
Source: RNAcentral